CUUCCGUAGGGUGACCUGCGGAAGGAUCAUUAGUGAAUAUAGGACGUCCAACUUAACUUGGAGUCCGAACUCUCACUUUCUAACCCUGUGCACUUGUUUGGGAUAGUAACUCUCGCAAGAGAGCGAACUCCUAUUCACUUAUAAACACAAAGUCUAUGAAUGUAUUAAAUUUUAUAACAAAAUAAAACUUUCAACAACGGAUCUCUUGGCUCUCGCAUCGAUGAAGAACGCAGCGAAAUGCGAUAAGUAAUGUGAAUUGCAGAAUUCAGUGAAUCAUCGAAUCUUUGAACGCACCUUGCGCUCCAUGGUAUUCCGUGGAGCAUGCCUGUUUGAGUGUCAUGAAUACUUCAACCCUCCUCUUUCUUAAUGAUUGAAGAGGUGUUUGGUUUCUGAGCGCUGCUGGCCUUUACGGUCUAGCUCGUUCGUAAUGCAUUAGCAUCCGCAAUCGAACUUCGGAUUGACUUGGCGUAAUAGACUAUUCGCUGAGGAAUUCUAGUCUUCGGAUUAGAGCCGGGUUGGGUUAAAGGAAGCUUCUAAUCAGAAUGUCUACAUUUUAAGAUUAGAUCUCAAAUCAGGUAGGACUACCCGCUGAACUUAAGCAUAUCAAUAAGCGGA
Molecule: ribosomal RNA, 615 nt
Filed under: Rhodotorula mucilaginosa
Lineage: Eukaryota; Fungi; Basidiomycota; Microbotryomycetes; Sporidiobolales; Sporidiobolaceae
Description: eukaryotic LSU rRNA
Rfam family: 5.8S ribosomal RNA (bases 186-339)
Source: RNAcentral